AGAGACCGAGAGCAGGGACCUGCUCAUUUGAUUUCAGCACUAGCAGGUCUCUGGAGAAGAUAAUGAAAGGUGCUCAGAAAAGGGUAGGUUUCUACUCUGUAUAUCUCAGCAGGGGGCCAUACUACACACAGAACUCCAAGAAACUUCAGGAAAGAGCCAGAGGUUCAAAUAUUUUAAAAAGGGGUUUUUUGGUUUGUGAAGUCUGCUGGUUGAUUGGAGAACAUGAAUAUCAGGAUUCUGAAGGCAUGUCCAUUGAGACACACUGGACACGCAAAUGUGUGUGGUGGAAGUGGUUAAUCUUCACUUUGUUGGACUGGAAGUUGUUCCGAUGUUAUGAAAGUGGAUCAUGUGCUCGUGUGGUGGGGACCUGUUUCAUCCGGCUCAGCUCGUCCACACUGUGCAGCAAAAUGAAUCAUGCCACACUUGAUCUUGCUGGACCAGUUCCUCCACACUUUUUAUUUUUCCUUUUGCUACAGGCAAUCAGCAGUCACCUCCCUAUAAGAAGUGGAGCUGUUGUGUGUAACCUAAAUUGCACUGAAUUCCUUAAGUCUGUCAGAUUCUAAACCAGUUUGGUUUUCACAGUAAGACAGCAUCGCGAUGCCGCUGAUGUUGGCCCUCCUUGUUGUCCACAUAUACUCAAUCCAGCAGCCUCUGCGCUGAGUGUCUGUCUCAGGACUUGCUGAAAGGACUGAAUCUCUGCAGUGUGGACGUUUACACCCUGCAAUCCUGUAAGCAGACUCUCAAAACUGGUGGAAAGCCUUGACCUGUUUUCUGUGCAUGCAAGAUUACUCAGAAGGAAUUAAGUUCAAGCAAGGAACAAGGGUAAUAAAGCCCAAGGCCACCCAUAGGAAUUUAUUUUCUGUCUAUUUCCAGCAAGGCUUGCCCAUUAUAACCCAGCCUUACUGUUUCAUGGGUUAAGGAGAAGAGAGAGCUCUUUUAUUCAAAUAUAUUUUAUUUAAAACUCUUCUAGUAAUAGGAUGAAAUUUUAACAGUGAAAACAAAGCAAAAGCUGAUUGAGAGAUAGGGAGACCCUGAGACAGACGGUUAUUUUGCCCAUUCCUGGUCUAUGAAACCAUCUGUUUUAUUGGGCUUAGACUGUGGAACGUCCUUGAGUUUAUCUUCUGGAGUUAAUUUGUUAGGCACAAUUAACUCAAGGAGGAGCCACAUAUCAUUACCCAGUUUCCCUUCUAGGGGAGAUCUAGAAGCUUUCUCCAUAGAGACUAAACCGUCAGAGCCCUAUAUUUGGUUUCUGUGGUCAGUGAGCCACUAUAGAAGGCAUUCACAAAGCAGUCCACAAGCUUUUUUUUGGGCCAGGUUGAGUCGCGUGUUAGUCACUGGCAG
Molecule: long non-coding RNA, 1341 nt
Filed under: Equus caballus (horse)
Lineage: Eukaryota; Metazoa; Chordata; Mammalia; Perissodactyla; Equidae
Description: lncRNA (ENSECAG00000057697.1)
Source: RNAcentral